This 497-nucleotide ribosomal RNA is filed under the name uncultured bacterium. RNAcentral's name for it is "partial 16S ribosomal RNA". It matches the Rfam family "Bacterial small subunit ribosomal RNA", at positions 28 to 507 of the family's 1533-position model. The record is from RNAcentral.
GAUGAACGCUGGCGGCGUGCCUAAUACAUGCAAGUCGAGCGAACAGACGAGGAGCUUGCUCCUCUGACGUUAGCGGCGGACGGGUGAGUAACACGUGGAUAACCUACCUAUAAGACUGGGAUAACUUCGGGAAACCGGAGCUAAUUCCGGAUAAUAUAUUGAACCGCAUGGUUCAAUAGUGAAAGACGGUUUUGCUGUCACUUAUAGAUGGAUCCGCGCCGCAUUAGCUAGUUGGUAAGGUAACGGCUUACCAAGGCAACGAUGCGUAGCCGACCUGAGAGGGUGAUCGGCCACACUGGAACUGAGACACGGUCCAGACUCCUACGGGAGGCAGCAGUAGGGAAUCUUCCGCAAAGGGCGAAAGCCUGACGGAGCAACGCCGCGUGAGUGAUGAAGGUCUUCGGAUCGUAAAACUCUGUUAUUAGGGAAGAACAAAUGUGUAAGUAACUAUGCACGUCUUGACGGUACCUAAUCAGAAAGCCACGGCUAACUACGUG